AGUGAAAAAGAGGAAACAUGGCUGUGACGACCAGUCACCUGUCAGAAUCGAUGAAUGGUUGAAUAAACCUCAACCAACAUAAUCCAAUAAUAUUAUCUGGAGCAAGUAGAAAGCUUUUUGGAAUGAAGGUCGAACGUCUGCCAACCGUAAACACCACCAAAGAAUACCUUUAGCCGGUGCGAAAUCGUCAUGCAAGACUAUAUUCCGUCUCCACGAUUCGCGAGUUGAAAAUUAGGCGGUCAUCUAAUGGUUUCGGGGAAAAAAGGAGUCCUGCAUUGUAUAGCACAUUACAGCAUCAAAUUGCUCAAUCCAAUUAUCCACAGCAUUAUGGAGACGGUGUACAAUGGGUAGCAUCAGUUCGAUCAACGUUCCAUCUACCAUAGACGUGUAUCUGGUUUACAUGCCAGCCCACAAGCUGUUGUACGAAAUCUACUAUUUGGCACUCGCCAUUUCGACUGUGAUCAUAUCACGGCAAUAUUGCUGAUCCUGCAGUAAAUAUAACACUUCUAUAAAGUGAUUCAAUGGUUAGUUGAUUACGCUGCUACUGCUAUUGCUAAUUGGAAUAAGGAAAGUACUCCGAGCGUAAACACUCCUUUCGAUUUCCCGACGAGCCUUCUACCCGCGCUUUUCAUAGUUACUGGAAGGGACCACUUCAUAUCUAUGCCAACGAGUAUCGUACUGUAAUGAAUGCUAUGGAAAAUCGCAGCAGGAUCGAUUGUACAAUAAGGUGGGAGGCCAUAACCACGAUUGUUUCUGUUGGUGCACGAAAUUACAGGAUGCAUAAAUCUCGGGAGGUGGUAGGAAAUGUAUCGUUUGCGCAAUACCCUGAUUUGUACCGAUACUCAGACGUUGCUUCUGCUGGUUAUCUUCUAUAAAGCACUGCUGGCGUUACGGAUCUCUGCCUUUCCGGUUUGUGUGAGAAGCCGUUACACUGUCGCACUUGUAUCGGAACAAGUAUCCAUGGAUGUACAUUGUUAUAUUUAUCACCAAACAGAAUUUUUUAUUCGCGUCUGCUUGGAAAAGUGUGCUAACAUAUUGUGACGCUCGAAAUGGCUGAUUGUCCAAGCAAAAAUGUAAAAUGAUAGGACAGAAAUGAAAUUACUACAUCUUUACUCUGCCUGCAUAAGCUUUGAGAAAUAACUACUGUAAUAUAUU
Molecule: long non-coding RNA, 1155 nt
Organism: Topomyia yanbarensis
Lineage: Eukaryota; Metazoa; Arthropoda; Insecta; Diptera; Culicidae
Exons: 3
Source: RefSeq, a predicted model, not a curated record